This 274-nucleotide ribosomal RNA is filed under the name uncultured bacterium. RNAcentral describes it as "partial 16S ribosomal RNA". It matches the Rfam family "Bacterial small subunit ribosomal RNA", at positions 523 to 796 of the family's 1533-position model. The record is from RNAcentral.
AUACGGAGGGUGCAAGCGUUACUCGGAAUCACUGGGCGUAAAGGACGCGUAGGCGGAUUGGAAAGUCAGAUGUGAAAUCCUACAGCUUAACUGUAGAACUGCAUUUGAAACGUCUAAUCUAGAGUAUGGGAGGGGGAGAUGGAAUUAGUGGUGUAGGGGUAAAAUCCGUAGAUAUCACUAGGAAUACCGAAAGCGAAGGCGAUCUCCUGGAACAUAACUGACGCUAAGGCGUGAAAGCGUGGGGAGCAAACGGGAUUAGAUACCCGAGUAGUCC